UACGUAGGGUGCGAGCGUUAAUCGGAAUUACUGGGCGUCAAGCGUGCGCAGGCGGUUUUGUAAGAUAGAUGUGAAAUCCCCGGGCUUAACCUGGGUACUGCAUUUGUGACUGCAAGACUAGAGUGCGGCAGAGGGGGGUAGAAUUCCACGUGUAGCAGUGAAAUGCGUAGAUAUGUGGAGGAAUACCAAUGGCGAAGGCAGCCCCCUGGGAUAAUAUUGACGCUCAUGCACGAAAGCGUGGGGAGCAAACAGG
This 253-nucleotide ribosomal RNA is filed under the name uncultured bacterium. RNAcentral describes it as "partial 16S ribosomal RNA". It matches the Rfam family "Bacterial small subunit ribosomal RNA", at positions 524 to 776 of the family's 1533-position model. The record is from RNAcentral.